CCUACGGUGGCUGCAGUGAGGAAUAUUGGUCAAUGGGCGAGAGCCUGAACCAGCCAAUUCGCGUGCGGGAUGAAGGCCCUUGUGGUCGUAAACCGCUUUUAUCAGCGAAUAAAGUGCACCACGUGUGGUGUCAUUGCAGGUAGCUGAAGAAAAAGGACCGGCCAAUUCCUUGCCAGCAGCCGCGGUAAUCCGGAAGGUCCGGGCGUUAUCCGGAAUCAUCGGGUUUUAAGGGUGCGCAGGCGGGAGCAUAAGUCAGCUGUUAAAUAUCAGAGCCCAACUCUGUUAUGCAGUUGAGACUAUAGUUGUUGAGAACGAAGAGGGAUGGCGGAAUUCAGGGUGUAGCGGUGAAAUGCCUAGAUAUCCUGAAGAACUCCGAUCGCGAAGGCAGCAAACCGGAGCAUAACUGACGCUGAGGCUCGAAGGUGCGGGUAUCGAACAGGAUUAGAUACCCUUGUAAUC
RNAcentral lists this ribosomal RNA (459 nucleotides) under Escherichia coli. RNAcentral describes it as "bacterial SSU rRNA". It matches the Rfam family "Bacterial small subunit ribosomal RNA", at positions 338 to 795 of the family's 1533-position model. The record is from RNAcentral. Lineage: Bacteria; Pseudomonadati; Pseudomonadota; Gammaproteobacteria; Enterobacterales; Enterobacteriaceae.